This is a long non-coding RNA of Mauremys reevesii (Reeves's turtle), 1151 nucleotides long. RefSeq lists it as uncharacterized. The record is from RefSeq and is a predicted model, not a curated record. The transcript is spliced from 3 exons. NCBI's taxonomy places the organism in Eukaryota, Metazoa, Chordata, Testudines, Geoemydidae.
UGGAGUGAAAGAGAGAACUUUGUUUUCAGCUAUAGAAAUACCCUUCAUCAUUCUUAAGAACAGUCAGCCAAAUCAAAAGCAUUACAAACAGAUAUUAGACACUUUCACUGUCAUUAAAGUCAAUGGCAAACUCCCAUUGACAUCCAUGUAUGCAGGAUUGAGCCCCCCAAACUAUCCAACACCGCAACUGUUGUUAAUUUUGCUUAAUUAUAACCUAUUUUCUUCAAAUGAACCAAUGCACUAUUCUUGGAGACUCACCUGUUUGGAAGAUUUGAAAUUGGAGUAACAAGCUGCUUUGGAGGUAGAGGGGGACAAAGAAAUGCUAGAAAAAAGUCAGCAUCUCAAACUGAGAGAUAUGAAGGUGGCUUCAAACAUUCCCUUUCCCCCAAAAUAAAAACUGUUUCUUGGAAGAUUAGCAGCUAAAAUUUCAGCUGUGCUACCAGACACCUGGUUCUCCAAAACUGUUAGAAUUCUCCAGGAGGAAGAGGGUUGCUCCUGAGAGAUGCUGAGCGUACUCUACUCCCACUGAAGUCAGCUCUCCGGAUCGGGUCAUCAGUGAACAGAAACUGUCAGAUCAAAAAGAAACACCCAGAAACAAAAUGUGAUAAUGUCAAGGAACGAUGUGAUAAGGGAUGAAAGAUCUGAACUAUGGUGGGUCAGAGGAAGGUGUCUCUCAUUGUUCACAGAAAGAUUACUGUAAGCCAGGAUCUGCAUGUGCUAAUGUCUGUGAGAACACAGGAAACCUAGAGGAACAAGGGAAUUCUUAUAUUACUUAACUGAAUCUUGUAGUGUUGCCAUUAGCCAGGAAAAAAACAACUAUUCUACUAAAUCCAAUAAAGAGUUAUCAGGAACAUUUUUAAGUGACACAUCAUGAAUGAGCAUUUGUUAUUUAUUUGCAUUAUUUGAGAAAUGUUUAACCACAAUAACAGGUGUAAAAUAAAGUGUAUUAUAUACCAGCAUGAGGUGAUCUCUGUCCCCCUCACUCACCUAGGGCAUCAUCCAAAGACCAUUGACUUUAACAGGCUUUGGAAUAAGCCCAGAGUGCAAUAAAAUAAGUGGAUUGGGCCAGACCAUAAGCAGUUUCUUACCUCACCCAAACUGACAAUGUAAACAUGCUCUAAUAAUAGCCUACAUUUUUAUAGCACUGUUCA